AAUCAACGCUGGCGGCGUGCCUAAUACACGCAAGUCGAACGCGAAAGUCCCGCAAGGGGCAAGUAGAGUGGCAAACGGGUGAGUAACGCGUGGGCGACCUACCUUCGAGUGGGGGAUAACCUUCCGAAAGGAGGGCUAAUACCGCAUGACAUCCCGUGUUUGGAUACACGGACAUCAAAGUCGGGGAUCGCAAGACCUGACGCUUGGAGAGGGGCCCGCGUCCGAUUAGCUAGUUGGUGGGGUAACGGCCCACCAAGGCUUCGAUCGGUAUCCGGCCUGAGAGGGCGGACGGACACACUGGGACUGAGACACGGCCCAGACUCCUACGGGAGGCAGCAGUGGGGAAUCUUGCGCAAUGGGCGAAAGCCUGACGCAGCGACGCCGCGUGAGGGAUGAC
Molecule: ribosomal RNA, 397 nt
Filed under: uncultured bacterium
Lineage: Bacteria
Description: bacterial SSU rRNA
Rfam family: Bacterial small subunit ribosomal RNA
Source: RNAcentral